GAUGAACGCUAGCGAUAGGCUUAACACAUGCAAGUCGAGGGGCAGCAUGGUCUUAGCUUGCUAAGACUGAUGGCGACCGGCGCACGGGUGCGUAACGCGUAUGCAACUUGCCUCACAGAGGGGGAUAACCCGUCGAAAGACGGACUAAUACCGCGUACACUCUAUUUUGGGCAUCCAAGGUAGAGGAAAUGAAAUUCGCUGUGAGAUAGGCAUGCGUCCCAUUAGCUAGUUGGUGAGGUAACGGCUCACCAAGGCGACGAUGGGUAGGGGAACUGAGAGGUUGAACCCCCACACUGGUACUGAGACACGGACCAGACUCCUACGGGAGGCAGCAGUGAGGAAUAUUGGUCAAUGGGCGAGGGCCUGAACCAGCCAAGUCGCGUGAAGGAUGACUGUCUUAUGGAUUGUAAACUUCUUUUGUAGGGGAAUAAAGAGGGGCACGUGUGCCCCAGUGAAUGUACCCUACGAAUAAGCAUCGGCUAACUCCGU
This 489-nucleotide ribosomal RNA is filed under the name uncultured bacterium. Its description in RNAcentral is "partial 16S ribosomal RNA". It matches the Rfam family "Bacterial small subunit ribosomal RNA", at positions 28 to 506 of the family's 1533-position model. The record is from RNAcentral.